Molecule: long non-coding RNA, 469 nt
Organism: Athene cunicularia (burrowing owl)
Lineage: Eukaryota; Metazoa; Chordata; Aves; Strigiformes; Strigidae
Exons: 3
Source: RefSeq, a predicted model, not a curated record
AGGAGGUCUAAUUCCCACUAACAGAACCCUCUGCAGACCCAUAGACACCUCAAUCCAGACCCAGAGUUCCGUGAACCCUAAUAAGUGCCCUGCCUACAAAAAUGAACUUAACUAUCCCAUUGCACUCUGACCUCCAAGGGCAUUGAGACCUGCCUGAGGUCAAGUUCCAAUAAUCGGCCAACGGGAGUCUUAUGAAAUUCAACAAGGACAAAUGCCUGGGCUGUGUCAUCAGAAGCACAGCCAGAAGAUCUGGGAAAGUGAUUAUUCCCUGAACUCAGCAGCUGUUAGACCACACGCAGAGCACUGCAUCCAGUCUGCGCCUCCCUGUUAAGGGAAAGGCUCUGAUAAACCAGCGCAAGUCCAGGGGAGGGCCACCACGAUGGUUGGGGAUGGAGCAUGUGACCUGUGAGAACAGGCAAAGAGACUGGGGCUUCUUCACCUGGAGAGGGGGUGUCUUUGGGGGAAUCAC